CCUCAAAUCAGGUAGGGCUACCCGCUGAACUUAAGCAUAUCAAUAAGCGGAGGAAAAGAAACUAACUAGGAUUCCCUUAGUAACGGCGAGUGAACCGGGAUGAGCUCAAAUUUGAAAUCUGGCGUCUUUCAGGCGUCCGAGUUGUAAUCUAUAGAGGCGUUUUCCGCGCCGGACCGCGUCCAAGUCUCUCGGAAUAGAGUAUCAAAGAGGGUGACAAUCCCGUACUUGACGCGACAACCGGUGCUCUGUGAUACGUUCUCAACGAGUCGAGUUGUUUGGGAAUGCAGCUCUAAAUGGGUGGUAAAUUCCAUCUAAGGCUAAAUAUUGGCGAGAGACCGAUAGCGCACAAGUACCGUGAGGGAAAGAUGAAAAGCACUUUGGAAAGAGAGUUAAACAGCACGUGAAAUUGUUAAAAGGGAAACGAUUGAAGUCAGUCGUGUGAAAGGUAUUCAGCCGUCUCUGGCGGUGUAUUUGCCUUUCACGGGUCAACAUCAGUUUAGUCCGGUAGAAAAAGGCUGGAGGAAGGUGGCACCCUCGGGUGUGUUAUAGCCUCCUGUCACAUGUGCCGGAUUAGACUGAGGAACGCAGCUUGCCGCAAGGCCGGGGUUCGCCACACGUACAAGCU
This 625-nucleotide ribosomal RNA is filed under the name uncultured Basidiomycota. Its description in RNAcentral is "LSU rRNA". It matches the Rfam family "Eukaryotic large subunit ribosomal RNA", at positions 1 to 617 of the family's 3401-position model. The record is from RNAcentral. Lineage: Eukaryota; Fungi; Basidiomycota.